Non-coding RNA from Aedes albopictus (Asian tiger mosquito), 58 nucleotides. The record is from Rfam. Lineage: Eukaryota; Metazoa; Arthropoda; Insecta; Diptera; Culicidae.
UAGCCUAGUGGUUAGGGCUUUGGAUAGCCAAUCCGGAGACGGUGGGUUCGAUUCCCGU